CCUACGGGAGGCUGCAGUGGGGAAUAUUGGACAAUGGGGGCAACCCUGAUCCAGCCAUGCCGCGUGUGUGAAGAAGGCCCUCGGGUUGUAAAGCACUUUCAGUGAGGAAGAACGCCUGGUGGUUAAUACCCAUCAGGAAAGACAUCACUCACAGAAGAAGCACCGGCUAACUCCGUGCCAGCAGCCGCGGUAAUACGGAGGGUGCGAGCGUUAAUCGGAAUUACUGGGCGUAAAGCGCGCGUAGGUGGCUUGAUAAGCUGGUUGUGAAAGCCCCGGGCUCAACCUGGGAACGGCAUCCGGAACUGUCAAGCUAGAGUGCAGGAGAGGAAGGUAGAAUUCCCGGUGUAGCGGUGAAAUGCGUAGAGAUCGGGAGGAAUACCAGUGGCGAAGGCGGCCUUCUGGACUGACACUGACACUGAGGUGCGAAAGCGUGGGUAGCAAACAGGAUUAGAUACCCUUGUAGUC
This 465-nucleotide ribosomal RNA is filed under the name Vreelandella stevensii. Its description in RNAcentral is "partial 16S ribosomal RNA". It matches the Rfam family "Bacterial small subunit ribosomal RNA", at positions 338 to 795 of the family's 1533-position model. Lineage: Bacteria; Pseudomonadati; Pseudomonadota; Gammaproteobacteria; Oceanospirillales; Halomonadaceae. The record is from RNAcentral.